GACGAACGCUGGCGGCGUGCUUAACACAUGCAAGUCGAACGGUGAAGCGCCUUCCUUUUUGGUGGGUGUGGAUGAGUGGCGAACGGGUGAGUAACACGUGAGUAACCUGCCCCCUUCUUCUGGAUAACCGCAUGAAAGUGUGGCUAAUACGGGAUAUUCUGGGUCUGUCGCAUGAUGGGUCUGGGAAAGACAUUGUUUCGGUGGGGGAUGGGCUCGCGGCCUAUCAGCUUGUUGGUGGGGUGAUGGCCUACCAAGGCGGUGACGGGUAGCCGGCCUGGGAGGGUGGACGGCCACACUGGGACUGAGACACGGCCCAGACUCCUACGGGAGGCAGCAGUGGGGAAUAGUGCACAAUGGGCGCAAGCCUGAUGCAGCGACGCCGCGUGAGGGAUGGAGGCCUGCGGGUUGUGAACCUCUUUCGCCAGUGAAGCAGGCCUGCCUCGUUUGUGGGUGGGUUGACGGUAGCUGGAUAAGAAGCGCCGGCUAACUACGUG
Molecule: ribosomal RNA, 494 nt
Filed under: uncultured bacterium
Lineage: Bacteria
Description: partial 16S ribosomal RNA
Rfam family: Bacterial small subunit ribosomal RNA
Source: RNAcentral